GCUGCGGGAAGGCUGUCACAGUGGGGUUUGCGGUUCAUAACCUGUCACGCAGAGUCUCGGGGACUGGGAGAAGCCGAGUGAAGAGAGGGUGGGAGAGCCUCGGUUUCCCCGCACGUUCGGGAACGCCUCCACCCCCUUCUUCCAUCCUUACUCUUUCCCGCUUCUCCCUGGACUCACCUGUUUAUUUCCAUCGCUCAGAGGUCUGGGAUUUUUGUUUGUUUGUUUUUAAACGUGGGCCAAAGGGGCUGGGUUUAUCAUUAUUAUUAGCAAGAUUAUUGGGGAGGUGAGAGGGUGUUGCUGAAAUCGAUGCUGGUCCAGGUCGGUUUUCAGGGAGGGGGGAGGGGACUUGGCGGAGACCCUGGCUCCCGGCCGCAGCUGACCCCGGGGCUCCUCCCCUCCUUCCCGGUGAGGAAUCCUUUCCCUCGCUCUGCGUAGCCAGCUGCCACCUUCCCGGAGAAAGACCACACCUAUGCUUCUUCACGCUUUGGAGGCGAGCUUCAGAACAGGAAGAAGGCUCAAAAUAGAACUACCUUAGGAAUCCAGCGCCUUCACCAGAUCAACUUUGAAACCAGCUGCUGGGGGAACCAAGUGAACUUUGACCCUGAGCCAACGGGAAGAGAAAGCUGUUGGAGACAGCGGUAGGAAGUGUUUUUCUCAAGUUCCUCACUGCACGGGGCACCCUUCCUGGACCUGGUGACUGACAGGCUGCCCUGGCUCAGUUAUCACAGUGCUGAUGCUGUCCAUUCUAAAGGUACAGUACUGUGAUAACUGAAGGAUGGCAGCCAUCUUGCCUUCCUCCCAAGAAGCCUUCUCACAGAAGAUGAAAGAGAACUGGGAAGCAGCCCGCUGGGACGAGACCUUCCUCUUCUAGGCUCCAGGUGGUGAUAGCAGGAAAUAAAAGGGCCUUGUCGUUUGCCUGGGAUGUAAAUGCUGUGGUUACUGAGUAGAUGGAAGGUCUGUGGAGCCUUGGAGUCUUCGGGAGGCUGGUGUUACCGAAGUCCUAAGGACGAAUCAGUAUAUCUGGAGUGGUAGUGAGAGAAAUGAGCCAUAUUGUAAAUGCAGAAGGCAACUUGCUUAACAGCUUCGCACUUAGCCCUGCACUGUUAGAUGUUCAGAGUUAAGUAGAGAGGAGAUGAGUGUUGGGUGUCAAACAGUAUCGAUGUCACAGGAAAAAAAUUACACCCAUGCCUAAGGAAAUGGGUAGUGACAUGGCGUUUCCAAAACAUGUAUGUGGAACAUCACCUCCACGUGGAAACAGGUUAUUUAUUCUACUAAGUAAAGGAGGACCACUCUACAUGGCAGCACAAAUCAGCUUCACAGAUACGAAGUUAAAGGUACCAACCAGUGUCAUGGUUGUGUGAAAACGUAGACCUUAAUAAAAGCAUGUGAUUUCAGUCCUCGGCAUCUUCGAAAGUACCAUGGGUGGGGCUGUGAAGAUGGCUCUGUCACGUGUAUGCAGACAUGAGAGGACCUGAGUUUGGACCCCAGCACCCGGGUGAAAAUCCAGGCAUGGUAACAGGCAUUUGCAAUCCCCAUUCUGGAGGACAGAGACAGACGGUCCCUGGGGCUUCCUGGCCAGCUAGCCUUACUGAAUCCCCAUGCCAUAGUGAGACAUGGCAAAAAACAAGGUGGACAGCCCCUGGGAGGAACACUUCAGGUUCUCUCUGGCCUCUCCGUGCAUACACACAAGGGCAUGUGCAUGUAGACAUGCACAUACAUGUAGGAAGGAUAGUUGGAAUAGAGUAGGGCUGUUAGAGGACCUGGGCUUUAUCCCACUCUUCCAGUCAGCCCUCUUGCUGAGGACACUACAUAUGACGACAAGACAAUGAGUACCGCAGGUGAUGACAUUGUUAGGUCACAGUUCACCAUAGGGGCCCAGAUGAUCACAUAGAUUGUGUUUUUAGGCUCCACGCUUAAACAGGGUCCUGUGACCUCUUCAUAGGCUAACAUGUCUGCCUGGGAACCUUCCUCCUUGUGGAUGGCUGAGUAGUGAGGGAGCUCAAGGAGUGACUUCUGUGGAAUCAGGCCCCAUAGCUGCGAGAAGGGUCCAGAUGGGCCAGGGGGGGCAAAACCCAUGUGACUUUUAGCAUAUGCUAAAAGUGGACAUUGUCACUUUCUCUACCUGGACAGAAGGAGGAAAGCCAGACACUGGUUGCCAUCACUGCCUCUCUGCUGGCUUAGUUUCUUUCUUCUUUCCCUUCUCCAUCCAAAAAGAAGCCACGCCAGCAGUGACUUGGGUCACACCUGCUUGGCCAGAAACACUGACCGUGUGUACAGCCCAGUGCUUCAAGUGACUUCGCCCGCGCGGUUUCUACAUAAACCAUGAGCUGGCUAGGCUGCUCUUGACAGAGAGGGAGGGGUCGGUCUUGCAGUUCCUUGGAUAGGAACUUUUGACAGAAACUCUGAAAAAAAAAAAAAACGCGAGAAAGCUUUGGGAUCGGUGAGUAAUUUGAAACCCUCCUACAUUUCAGUGUUUUAGCAGGUGGAAAAAAAGCUUGAAGAAGGACUGCUUUUGUAAUCCUUGGCUUGCGUGUGGAUUUCGCCACCUUCCUGACCUUCCUGUUUUCCCGCUUACUGGUUUUACAAAAAUUCAUCAGGUCUUUUACUUGCCCGAGCUUGACCCCAGAAGACACAUUCAUGUGCAUGGGACAUUGCCGUUGUCUUACUCGUUUUGCUCUUGCUACAGUAAAAUGCCCUGACAAGCAAAUGGUAGGGAGAAAGGGGUUAUUUUAUUUUAUUAAAGACUUAACUUAUUUUUUGUGCUUUGCGUGUAUGUCUGUGUGAGGGUGCCAGAUUCUCUAGAACUGGAAUUAGCUACAAGAUGCCAUGUGGGUGCAGGGAAUUGAAGCGGGGUUCCCUGCAAGAGCCACCUCCCCAGCCCCCAGAAAGGGUUUAUUUUAAAAUCACAGUUCUAGAUUAUAGUCUCACCAUAGCAGGGGAGCCAAGGCAUCAGGAGUUUGAAGCAGCUGGCCACAUUCUAAUCAUAGUCUGGAGAGAGCAAUGAGUGUGUGUUCACUAGUGGUCUGUUUACUUCCUGCCUUGUUACACCAUCCACGAGUCCCUGCCUAGGGAAUGGUACCAAGCAGAAUGGGCUGCUCUUCCACUUCAGAUAAUGUAAUCAAAGGAUUGCCCCAUCCUCAGGCAUGCCCAGAAGCUACCUGCCCCCCAGGUGAUUCGAGGUUAUGUCAAGUUUACAGAACUGUAGCAACAAUAUUGGCUGUGAUUUGGACAGGAGUCAGGCUGAGUCAGGAGAACUGAGGCAGUGACUCUAGAUGCUUAUCCAGGCCCAGGGUCUUUGAAAACUUUGGGGUUUUCAAAAAGCUGGGUGUGGUACACACCUGUAAUCUCAGCUCUCAGGAGGUAAAGUGUGAGGAUUACCCAUGAGUUCAAAGCCAGUUUGGUGUCUGUGAGCCUGGUCUAUAGAGUGCCAGACCAGGCAGGGUUACAUACAUAGUAAGGUCCUAUCUCAACAACAAGAAGAAUAAAGGCUUGAUGUAAGAAGCUGGUGGGAAGCUCAUUACAUAGAUUUGGUUGAUGUGUUCAUUACAUAUCUCUGCAUGUCCAAAAGAAGUAAAAAGGGGCUGAGGGAAGAUCCUUGAAUAUCCAUAUUCAUAAAUAAUCUUAUUAGAAGCAAAAGAAGGGGGAAAGCCACCCAAGUGCCCAUGGAUGGAUGAAAGCUGCAUUAAGUACAGUAAAAUAUUAGGCGUUUAAAGAGAAGGGAAUUGGGACACACCAUCCACCGUGGGUUGACCUUGGUACUAUGCUAAGUGAAGGCAUAGAUAGGGUAUGACCAGAAAAGGUUACUGUUACCAGAGUCUGGAACAAGGAGGAAGUGGGGAAUUUGUACUAAAGCAGACAAAAGUUUCAUUUGGGGAGGGUGAUGGUUGCCCAGCAUGAAUAUACUUGACGCCCACAGGAUUGCCUGCCUAAAAAGCUAAGUUCUGUGUAUAUCAACAAUAAGACAUGUAGGGUGAUGAUGCUGUUGGAUGCCCUGCAACAAGACUGGCAUGCUUGCCUCAAUUUCAAUUGUAAAGAUCUCAGAGGUACUAUUCAAAGCAGUUAAAAUGUAAUUGUCAUGUCUUUUUGUGUUUAAAGUUCUCAAAUCUGUAGCCCCUUGGGUAUAUUUCCAGACAUAAGAUGGCUUUAGUUUAGUAAAAUAGAAAAACAAGAGCAUUAAAAACAGAAUGAGAAAGGCCCCGUUCUGCUGGCAAAAGUGAGCAGUGCUGGAAUUCAGGCAGUCUCCUUGACUUGGGCUUCUGUGGUACAGUAGUAAAGAUAAAAAUUACAUCCAUCUCUUGGGCCUUCGAGUUGGUUCAGUGGGUAAAGGUCCCUGGCAAGUUGCAAUCAUUUCUCGGAAUCUUUGUAAAGGUGGAAAGAAAACCUGGCUCCAAAAAGUUGUCCUCUGGCCUCUACAUGUUUGUCCCAGAGCUACAUCAUCUACACUAAUAAAUAAUGAAAAAAUUAAAAUUGUAUUUAUCUUCAAA
Molecule: non-coding RNA, 4484 nt
Organism: Myodes glareolus (Bank vole)
Lineage: Eukaryota; Metazoa; Chordata; Mammalia; Rodentia; Cricetidae
Source: RefSeq, a predicted model, not a curated record